GACGAACGCUGGCGGCGUGCUUAACACAUGCAAGUCGAGCGGUAAGGCCCUUUCGGGGGUACGACGAGCGGCGAACGGGUGAGCAACACGUGGGUGACCUGCCUUUAGCUCUGGGAUAAGCCUGGGAAACCGGGUCUAAUACCGGAUAUGACUCCGCGGCGCAUGUUGUGGGGUGGAAAGCCUUGUGCGGCUGGAGAUGGGCCCGCGGCCUAUCAGCUUGUUGGUGGGGUGAUGGCCUACCAAGGCGACGACGGGUAGCCGGCCUGAGAGGGCGACCGGCCACACUGGGACGUGAGACACGGCCCAGACUCCUACGGGAGGCAGCAGUGGGGAAUCUUGCGCAAUGGGCGAAAGCCUGACGCAGCGACGCCGCGUGAGGGAUGACGGCCUGGUU
Molecule: ribosomal RNA, 394 nt
Filed under: uncultured bacterium
Lineage: Bacteria
Description: bacterial SSU rRNA
Rfam family: Bacterial small subunit ribosomal RNA
Source: RNAcentral